This is a long non-coding RNA of Manacus vitellinus (golden-collared manakin), 433 nucleotides long. RefSeq lists it as uncharacterized. The transcript is spliced from 4 exons. The record is from RefSeq and is a predicted model, not a curated record. Lineage: Eukaryota; Metazoa; Chordata; Aves; Passeriformes; Pipridae.
AUCAGUGGGGCCAGCUGCUGCAGGACUGGCAGGGCAUCGGUCAGUUGGUGGUUGAUCAUAAUUGCUGUGCCAACCAGUACCAGAGGAAGCUGGACUGGACAUCGUGGAUGGCUCUUUCAGUCACAGGCUCUGUCUACAAUGCCUUGGAAUGGGCCUGCGCAGAAGAAGCACUGGUGCUGUAGUGCUGAGCAGUGGGGCACUCAUGUUGCUCACAUUUCAAGGAAAUUUCAUUUUCCUCAGACUAGAUCCAGUUGGCCCCAAGGUUGAACAUCCAUCAGAGAUACUGGUGAAUUCAGAGGAAAUAUUUCCUGGUCCUGUGCCAUCCAGAAAGACUCCUUAGGACUGAACAUGUGCGCAGAAAUGCAAAGAACACUUUAAAACACCUACCUGGAAAGUCUUCUCUUAUUUUCUUGCUGGACGAAGACAUCAUAGU